Molecule: long non-coding RNA, 9518 nt
Filed under: Triticum aestivum (bread wheat)
Lineage: Eukaryota; Viridiplantae; Streptophyta; Magnoliopsida; Poales; Poaceae
Description: long non-coding RNA (TAES_LNC008266)
Source: RNAcentral
UAGUUUAUACACUCUGCAUAGGUUUGUGCACUUUUCCCACAACACUCGAUCGCCUCCCUUGAUUUUCGCACUACAUGAUGUUUGAGAAAUGGAUGAUCGAGACAUAGUCUUUCAGAAGCGUUUGCACCUUACGAUGUGAUAGACCGUACCACCUACAUCCCCUAUAUCUGCUAGUCUACCACUGUAAGAGUUCACACAACUUAAUCGACUAUCCUAGAGCCCAUAAUAGCAUGUGGUUGCACACGGAAGUUUCUAGCAUGAAUAAUCUCAUGAUCCCUUUGAACCUUGGUGGCGGUCCAAAAGAAAAACAGGCAAUCCUGGAAUACCCAGGUACCUCAAUCCACCCAGAUGUGAGUUUUAGUUGCCACCUUAAGUAAACCAUUAAUUAACAAUCUCACAUCUGUCGUGAAUAUCUCUCAAACCCAAUCCACGUCUACAAGCAUAACAUGGCAAUAUAAGCAACGUAGAAGUAACUCCCAAGGGUUUGAUAAUAAAAUAGGUAAUAGGUACUACCUCAACUACUUCCCAAUACCCACAAUUUAAUUAGAUCCUAACCAAUGCAAUGUUUGAGGAUUGAUCUAAUGCAAUAAAACUGGGUAGUGAAAAGUAUGAUCAAAGUGUUACUUGCCUUGCUGGUGAUCCGUGAAACCUAGAGAUUCGAAGUAGCAAGCGGCGCACUCCGGGUACUCUAUCGCGAACAAACAAGCAAACAAUAAGUACUCAUCUAAUGCACAAGUAAAACUCAAAUAAAGAUCUAACCAGAAAGUUCAACUUAAGAACUCCGGCUUGCAAAAAGAUUCAACUCAAACGAAGCAACGAAGGUCAAACGGCGAAAGAAACAAGCUUCGUUUACUAAUCUGGAUCUAAGUCAAAUUUUACAGUAGCAAAAACUUGUUUGAGUAGGUUAAACGGAAAGAGAAUUUCGAGAUGAAACUCUAGGCGCUUGAAUCGCUUGAUUCCGAUAAACGAGCGAAAAGUUAAACCAAAACGAAAAUCUGAUCAGAAAUCACGAUCUGGAAUAAUCGCGGAAAAUCCGACGAAAAGGAAAACUGACGAACAGUUAAACGAACGGACGUUCGUUAACAGCGUCAAACCGACGAACACGUUCAUUAAAACGAACGGAUCGGUGAACGUUCACUAAGUAAUAAACCGAAAAAAAUAAACCGAUCUAUAUAAAAAAACUAGGGUUAAAAAAAUAAACCGGGUCAUUUUUUUUUAGAAACUGGGCACGGCGACGGCGUGGCUACCUCGGCGAGCAGCUCCGGCGGGUCUUCCGGCGGAUCGGGCGAGGGGCGGCGAGGUGGCGGGGCUCGGGCGGCGACGACGGGCGGNNNNNNNNNNNNNNNNNNNNNNNNNNNNNNNNNNNNNNNNNNNNNNNNNNNNNNNNNNNNNNNNNNNNNNNNNNNNNNNNNNNNNNNNNNNNNNNNNNNNNNNNNNNNNNNNNNNNNNNNNNNNNNNNNNNNNNNNNNNNNNNNNNNNNNNNNNNNNNNNNNNNNNNNNNNNNNNNNNNNNNNNNNNNNNNNNNNNNNNNNNNNNNNNNNNNNNNNNNNNNNNNNNNNNNNNNNNNNNNNNNNNNNNNNNNNNNNNNNNNNNNNNNNNNNNNNNNNNNNNNNNNNNNNNNNNNNNNNNNNNNNNNNNNNNNNNNNNNNNNNNNNNNNNNNNNNNNNNNNNNNNNNNNNNNNNNNNNNNNNNNNNNNNNNNUAGGAGGGGGAGGGGGUGCCGUGGGGGAGGGGGCAAGGCGGCGGCGGGCGGCGUGCUCGAGCCCGACUCGGCGGCGGCGGGAGCCGUGCUCGGGAGGGAGACGGGCGCGGGGCAGGCUGGGCCGUCGGCUGGGGUUCGGCCCAGUCGGCGCGCUCGGCUUUUUUUUUUAAUUCACCGAAUCUAAAAAAAUCGCAGAAAAAUAAAUAAAAAAUCCAAAAAUGAUAAAACAAAUUUUUUCCGUCUAAUUAAAAUAAUUAGAACGAGGUGAACAUUUCCUUGGCCCAAAAAUGCAGUUUUUAAAACGUGCAAUUUUUUAAUGCAAUGAAAAUUGCAAAUAAAAUCCGAAUAAAAUCAAAUAUUUGAUUUUAAUAUUUUACCUCCAAUAUUUCAGUUAUUUUGGAGAAGUCAUAUUUUCUCCUCUCAUUUAUUUUAAUACGAAAUAUUUUUCGAGAGAAAAAUAAUUAAAACCAAAAUCCUCGUUUUAUUAUUUGAUAAAUAUCAAAUAUGAAAAACCGGGAAAAUCCCCAACUCUCUCUGAGGGUCCUUGAGUUGCUUAGGAUUUAUCGAGGAUUUGCCAAAACGCAAAUAAAUAUGCUAUGCAAUGAUGAUCUAGUGUAUAACAUUCCAAAUUGAAAAUUUGGGAUGUUACAAACCUACCCCCUUAAGAUGAAUCUCGCCCUCGAGAUUCGGGUUGGCUAGAAAAUAGGUGAGAGUGGUUCUUCCGUAGAUCUUCCUCUCGCUCCCAGGUGGCUUCAUCUUCAGUAUGGUGACUCCACUGGACUUUGCAAAACUUGAUAACCUUACUGCGGGUGACUCGGCUGGCAUACUCAAGAAUCUUAACUGGUUUCUCCUCAUAGAUCAAAUCACUUUCCAGCUGUAUCGCUUCCAGUGGCACUGUAUCUCUCAGUGGUAUCUCAGCCAUCUUUGCGUGGCACUUCUUCAACUGGGAAACGUGGAAUACAGCAUGAACUCCUGACAAUCCUUCAGGCAAUUCCAGCUUGUAGGCAACUUCUCCCAUACGCUCCAAAACUCUGUAUGGUCCUACAAAACGAGGCGCUAAAUUUCCCUUAACUCCAAAGCGCUUCACUCCUCGAAGUGGUGAUACUCGAAGAUAAACUCUGUCUCCGACUUCGUGAACUGUCUCCUUACGUUUUGAAUCCGCAUAACUCUUCUGCCUGGACUGGGCUACCUUGAGCCUAUCGCGAAUCAACCUCACUUUCUGUUCAGACUCUUUAAUCAAAUUUGGUCCAAACAACUGACGGUCCCCAACUUCGUCCCAUAACAAUGGUGUUCUACACCUCCUUCCGUACAGAGCUUCGAAAGGGGCCAUCUUCAAACUGGCUUGAUAGCUGUUGUUGUAAGAAAACUCUGCAUAUGGCAAAUUUUCGUCCCAACUAGAUCCAUAAUCCAGCGCACAAGCUCUCAACAUGUCUUCCAAAAUCUGAUUGACUCUCUCGGUCUGUCCAUCUGUCUGUGGGUGAAAAGCUGUACUGAAUUCUAGCCUGGUUCCCAAGGUUUCAUGUAACUGAUUCCAAAACUUUGAGGUAAACUGGGUUCCCCUAUAUGAUACAAUGGUCCUCAGAACUCCAUGCAAACAUACGAUUCUGGUCAUGUAUAUUUUUGCCAACUUAGCACUGGUGUAAGUGGUCUUCACUGGGAUGAAAUGAGCUACUUUCGUCAAACGGUUGACUACAACCCAUAUUGAGUCAUAGCCUGAACGAGUCCUGGGCAAUCCCGUGAUAAAAUCCAUGCCUAGUUUAUCCCACUUCCAUUCGGGUAUCGGCAAUGGUUGUAGCAAUCCCGCUGGCUUCUGAUGUUCUGCCUUCACUCUCUGACAUACAUCACAAACUGCUACAUACUCCGCAAUAUCCUUCUUCAUACCGGUCCACCAGAAAGUAUCCUUCAAAUCCAAAUACAUCUUGGUGUUUCCUGGGUGAAUCGAGUACGGUGAAUCAUGGGCCUCUUGCAAGAUCAAUUUCCUGAUCUCCGGAUCAUUGGGCACGUAAACGCGGUCCUCAAACCAUAAGGUAUCGUGCUCAUCCUCAUGAAAUCCCUUGGCUUUUCCUUUGUUCAUCUUUUCCUUUAUCUCGUUAAUUUCCUUGUCUGUCUCUGAGCUUCUCUGAUCUUUUCCAUCAGGGUAGACUGAAUCUCCAAUGUUGCUAAAUAGCCUCUUGGAACUAUCUCCAAACAUAGCUCGCGAAGAUCCUCGGCUAACUCCUGGGGUAACUCUCCUAUCAUGAGUGUGUUGACAUGGCUCUUGCGGCUCAACGCAUCUGCUACUUCGUUGGCCUUCCCUGGGUGAUAAUGCAAUCUCAUAUGGUAGUCCUUAAUAAGCUCCAACCAUCUCCUCUGCCUGAGAUUCAACUCCUUCUGUGUGAAAAUGUACUUCAAACUCUUGUGAUCCGUCUACACCUCACAAUGGUUUCCGAUUAGAAAAUGUCUCCAUGUCUUCAGCGCAUGCACUACGGCUGCUAAUUCCAAAUCAUGCGUGGCAUAAUUCUUCUCAUGGGGUUUAAGUUGUCGUGAAGCAUAUGACACAACUCUUCCUUCCUGCAUAAGCACUGCUCCAAGUCCUCGACGAGAAGCGUCACAAUAAACUUCAUAAUCCUUGCGUUGAUCUGGCAGAAUCAACACUGGUGAUGUAACCAAUCGUUUCUUCAACUCUUGGAAACUAGCUUCACAUUCCUCAGUCCAAUAGAAUUUGGUGUCCUUCUUCAAUAGCUAAGUCAUGGGUUUUGCAAUCUUUGAGAAAUUCUCACUGAAUCUCCGGUAGUAUCCUGCGAGUCCAAGGAAACUCCGGAUCUCUCCAACUGACGUGGGUGAUUCCCAACUUGUUACUGUGUCAACUUUGGCGGGGUCUACUGCUAUUCCUUCUCUGGAUAUAACAUGUCCGAGGAAUCCAACUUCCUUCAGCCAAAACUCACAUUUGCUGAACUUGGCGUACAACUGGUGUUCUCUGAGUUUCUCAAGUACCAAACGCAAAUGCUCCUUAUGUUCCUCUUCAUUCUUUGAGUAGAUCAAAAUAUCAUCAAUGAACACUACGACAAACUUAUCCAAAAACUCCAUAAACACCUUGUUCAUCAAGUUCAUCAAAUAGGCAGGUGCGUUAGUCAGACCAAAUGACAUAACGGUAUACUCAUACAGCCCAUACCUGGUGGUAAAAGCCGUCUUAGGUAUAUCCUGCUCUCGAAUCUUCAACUGGUGGUAUCCUGAUCGUAGAUCGAUCUUGGAAAAUACCUUAGCUCCUUGUAGGCGGUCAAACAAAUCAUUAAUCAUUGGCAGUGGGUACUUGUUCUUGAUGGUCACUUCAUUCAAUCCACGAUAAUCAACGACCAUCCUUAACGAUCCAUCCUUCUUCUCCACUAGAAGUACAGGCGAUCCCCAAGGUGACGAACUUGGGCGAAUAUAGCCUUUAUCCAGUAACUCCUUAAUCUGCUUCUUAAUUUCCACCAAAUCUUUUGCGGGCAUCCUCUACGGUCUCUUAGAUAUCGGUCCUGUGCCUGGCAAAAGUUCAAUCGGAAACUCAAUGUCUCUAUCCGGUGGCAUGCCUGGCAACUCUCCUGGAAAUACAUCCGGGUAAUCCUUCACCACUGGUACUUCCUUCUGUACAACUCCUGAUAAGGAAUUCACUUGAGUCCUCUUCGGCACAUGCCGGGAUACAUACUUAAUCCUCCUUCCUUCUGGGGUGGUAAGAAAAAUCGACUUACUGGCACAAUCGAUGUUCCCUCCAUACUUUGAUAACCAAUCCAUGCCUAAUAUCACAUCCAAUCCUUGCGAUUCCAGUAUUAUUAGGUCUGAGGGAAACACGUAGUUACCAAUCCUUAAUGGUAACCGAUCACACCAUAAACUAGCCAUAUACUCUGCUCCUGACGAGGUUACUAACAUGGGUGACCUAAGGGCUUGGGUUGGCAGUUUAUAGUUAUCCACAAAUCCCCUUGAUAUGUAUGUAUGCGAUGCACCAGUAUCAAAAAGAACGAGUGCAGUAAAUGACUUAACCAAAAACUUACCUAUUACUGCAUCAGGCUGUGCUUCAACCUCUUCCAUGCUAACGUGGUUCACAUGUCCUUUGCUGAAAGGGUUCGGCUUCUUCCCAGAGCUUCCAUUUCCAUUACCAUUCUGGGCUUCAGGACAUUCAUUGGCAUAAUGUCCAGUCUUCUGACAUUUAAAGCAAGUGACUUGACUCAGGUCUCUCUUAGCUGGGGUUGAAGGGUUGGUACGGUUCUGUCCGUUGCUUCCUCCGUUCCCAUUUCCAUUCUUGGAGCCAUUAUGAUUGUGCGAACUACCUCCUCCAUGGGUAUGCUGAAACUGUCCUCCCGAUUUCGGGGUAAAACGUGGCUUCUGCUGGGCUCCAAAAUUAUACUUCCCUUGUCCAUACUUCCUCUUACGGUUUUCAAUCUGCUGCUGCUUCCCUUCAAUCAUGAGUGCUCUAUCUACCAACUCCUGGUAGUUGUUGAAGGUUGCUACCAUUAGCUGCAUGCUCAGCUCAUCAUUCAGUCCUUCCAAAAACUUCUCCUGCUUGGCUGCAUCUGUAGCAACGUUAUCUGGGGCAUAACGUGCUAACUUACUGAAAUCCUCCACAUACUGGCCUACGGUGCGUCCUCCUUGGCGUAGGUUGCGAAACUCACGCUUCUUCAUAGCCAUAGCUCCUGCUGAAACAUGGGCUGUACGGAAAGCUUGCUGAAACUGGUCCCGUGUGACAGUGUCAAUAGGGUGAGUGGCUGUGUAAUUUUCCCACCAUGAUGCUGCGGGUCCAUCAAGCUGAUGUGCGGCAAAAAGCACUCUUUCCGCAUCUGUGCAUCCUGCAGUGGUCAACUCCCUUCCAACUUUGCGGAGCCAAUCAUCUGCAACAAUCGGCUCGGUGCUGAUGGCAAACACCGGCGGAUUUAGCCUCAAGAAACGGGCUAGGUGAUCAACAGGUGGUGGUGGUCGGUUGUUGUUGUUGUUGUUGCCUUGUUUCUGUACUAACACUUGCAUCAGGGCAUUCUGUUGCUGAAUCAACUGUGUGAUCUCCGGUGGGAAAACAAAUCCGGUGUCGCGUCUCGGAGGCAUCUGAUAGGUAUAGAAAAGAUGAGAAUUUAGAAUAGAAUGAGGUCUAGAGAGAAAACAUUACCCAUAUGCUCAUGAGACAAACACAAUCAAUAUCACUCAAUCAAUUCAAACAAGGCAUACAAUCGAUCUAACUAGCGUUACAAAAGGGCUCAAACUAUACUAUAUAUAUGGGGGAAUACUACUACUAAUAUGGUGGUCUACUAGAAAUUUUGAUCAGUCGAAGACUCCAUGAUAUCUGCUCCAGCUUCAUCAACAAAGUCAUCUUCACUGGGGUUCGAGUCGGUGUUGUCGAUGAUGAUGUAGUUAUCCGGGCAAGCGCAUUCAUCAUCUUCUGCUUUUGAUACUGGAUUUCCCAUGAAUACUCCAAUCUUCUUCUCCAGGUCGUCAUUCUUCCCUACUAGUGCGACGAUUUCCUCCAAAUAAUCCUCGCGUGUAGCCUUGAGUUCUUCCUCCAACUCCUUGAUCUUCAUCAAUGCCUUAUUCAGAUCUAUCUUGUCUUAGCACAUCUGGUUCUCCUGGCGACGAAUGUGUUGGUUUUGCUCCUGGAUGAAAGCUGCAAUUGAUCCAUCCUUCUUGGUGCUAAUCAUCUCCCAUUGCUCGUCUCGGCGUCCACAAAUCUGAUAAAUAGUAUCCUUAAGCUCCCUUUGGUAGACUUCUCCAAUGCAUCCCAUAGAGAUGUGGGCUGCCAUGCUCUUCCCUAAACUCCAGGUUGGUGCUUCAAAAGACAACUUUAUAGGCUCAGUGACUAGCAUAAACGUCCUUCCUGGAACUUGAACUUGAAUCUUCCAGCUCUCCUCUUCAGGUAAUGUGGCGUUGUAGGUUUCGGUGAUGCUUGGUAUUCCAAUGUUCAAGUACUUAGUGACUUCCUUCAAGUGUCGUCCAAAAGGCGUAUCUUCAUCCGGUUGCAUGAACUUGUUCCUUGCAUCCGCCAUUCCUAAAAGAGUAGAAAGUGGACAGGAGUCAGAAAUGAGAAGAGAGUAGUGUUCUAGGGUUUAAGCUUAGUGGUCGUGUCCUACAGUCAGCGUGUACUCUGAUACCACCUUUGUAGCGACCAGAUCUCAAACAGUUUGUGCUGCUGUGCACCAGUGUCAUCCCUGGAUCAGUAAUGCUGACACGCACAGUACAAAUGGAGGAUUUAUAACAGAGUAGCAAUCACACACUUAUUACAGCGAAUAUCUCAAAGGAGAAUAAGUAUGAUAUAUAUGGCUUAAGGCCAUCUAAUACGAUAACAGCGGAAGGCUUGGAAGAUAAGUGAGUCCAUCAACUCCAACGGCAUCACUGAGUAUAAGACCACGACCUAAGGCACCUUACUCGUCGUCUGAAAAGUCUGCAACAUGAAACGUUGCAGCCCAAAAACGGGUCAGCACAUGGAAUAUGCUGGCAAUGUAACACAUAGAGAGUAAUGAACAGAAUGAUAAUAUACUACAUGCAUAUAUGGCUGGUAGAAAGCUCUAUGGUUACAGUUUUGCGAAAAGCCAAUUUUUCCCUACUUCAAAGGAAUAAAUUUUAUUUAACUAUCAUGGUGGUUGUUAAACAUUGAGAUGGUUGACAGCAUCUCAAUCCCAAUUAAGUAUCAUCAUUAACCCAACAAAAUUAAUUAAAGUAACAUGGUGAUGAGAUUCAUAUGAUAAUCCAAGUACUAGAUACUCAAGUUGUCCAUAACCGGGGACACGGCUAACCAUGAGUAGUUUAUACACUCUGCAGAGGUUUGUGCACUUUUCCCACAAGACUCGAUCGCCUCCGCUGGAUUCUCGCACUACAUGAUGUUUGAAAAACGGAUGAUCGAGACAUAGUCUUUCAGAAGCGUUUGCACCUUACGAUGUGAUAGACCGUACCACCUACAUCCCCUACAUCUGCUAGUCUACCACUGUAAGAGUUCACACAACUUAAUCAACUAUGCUAGAGCCCAUAAUAGCAUGUGGAUGCACACGGAAGUUGCUAGCAUGAAUAAUCUCAUGAUCCCUUUGAACCUUGGUGGCGGUCCAAAAGAAAAACAGGCAAUCCUGGAAUACCCAGGUACCUCAAUCCACCCAGAUGUGAGUUUUAGUUGCCACCUUAAGUAAACCAUUAAAUAAAAAUCUCACAUCAGUCAUGAAUAUCUCUCAAACCCAAUCCACGUCUACAAGCAUAACAUGGCAAUAUAAGCAACGUAGAAGUAACUCCCAAGGGUUUGAUAAUAAAACAGGUAAUAGGUACUACCUCAAAUACUUCCCAAUACCCACAAUUUAAUUAGAUCCUAACCAAUGCAAUGUUUGAGGAUUGAUCUAAUGCAAUAAAACUGGGUAGUGAAAAGUAUGAUCAAAGUGUUACUUGCCUUGCUGGUGAUCCGUGAAACCUAGAGAUUUGAAGUAGCAAGCGGCGCACUCCGGGUACUCUAUCGCGAACAAACAAGAAAACAAUAAGUACUCAUCUAAUGCACAAGUAAAACUCAAAUAAAGAUCUAACCAGAAAGUUCAACUUAAGAAUUCCGGCUUGCAAAAAGAUUCAACUCAAACGAAGCAACGAAGGUCAAACGGCGAAAGAAACAAGCUUCAUUUACUAAUCUAGAUCUAAGUCAAAUUUUACAGUAGCAAAAACUUGUUUGAGUAGGUUAAACAGAAAGAGAAUUUCGAGAUGAAACUCUAGGCGCUUGAAUCACCUGAUUCCGAUAAACGAGCGAAAAGUUAAACCAGAACGAAAAUCUGAUCAAAAAUCGUGAUCUGGAAUAAUCGCGGAAAAUCCGACGAAAAAGAAAAAUGACGAACAGUUAAACGAACGGACGUUCGUUA